GACGAACGCUGGCGGCGUGCCUAAUACAUGCAAGUCGAGCGAGCGGAACUAACAGAUUUACUUCGGUAAUGACGUUAGGAAAGCGCGCGGCGGAUGGGUGAGUAACACGUGGGGAACCUGCCCCAUAGUCUGGGAUACCACUUGGAAACAGGUGCUAAUACCGGAUAAGAAAGCAGAUCGCAUGAUCAGCUUUUAAAAGGCGGCGUAAGCUGUCGCUAUGGGAUGGCCCCGCGGUGCAUUAGCUAGUUGGUAAGGUAAAGGCUUACCAAGGCGAUGAUGCAUAGCCGAGUUGAAAGACUGAUCGGCCACAUUGGGACUGAGACACGGCCCAAACUCCUACGGGAGGCAGCAGUAGGGAAUCUUCCACAAUGGACGCAAGUCUGAUGGAGCAACGCCGCGUGAGUGAAGAAGGUUUUCGGAUCGUAAAGCUCUGUUGUUGGUGAAGAAGGAUAGAGGUAGUAACUGGCCUUUAUUUGACGGUAAUCAACCAGAAAGUCACGGCUAACUACGUGCCAGCAGCCGCGGUAAUACGUAGGUGGCAAGCGUUGUCCGGAUUUAUUGGGCGUAAAGCGAGCGCAGGCGGAAGAAUAAGUCUGAUGUGAAAGCCCUCGGCUUAACCGAGGAACUGCAUCGGAAACUGUUUUUCUUGAGUGCAGAAGAGGAGAGUGGAACUCCAUGUGUAGCGGUGGAAUGCGUAGAUAUAUGGAAGAACACCAGUGGCGAAGGCGGCUCUCUGGUCUGCAACUGACGCUGAGGCUCGAAAGCAUGGGUAGCGAACAGGAUUAGAUACCCUGGUAGUCCAUGCCGUAAACGAUGAGUGCUAAGUGUUGGGAGGUUUCCGCCUCUCAGUGCUGCAGCUAACGCAUUAAGCACUCCGCCUGGGGAGUACGACCGCCAGGUUGAAACUCAAAGGAAUUGACGGGGGCCCGCACAAGCGGUGGAGCAUGUGGUUUAAUUCGAAGCAACGCGAAGAACCUUACCAGGUCUUGACAUCUAGUGCCAUUUGUAGAGAUACAAAGUUCCCUUCGGGGACGCUAAGACAGGUGGUGCAUGGCUGUCGUCAGCUCGUGUCGUGAGAUGUUGGGUUAAGUCCCGCAACGAGCGCAACCCUUGUUAUUAGUUGCCAGCAUUAAGUUGGGCACUCUAAUGAGACUGCCGGUGACAAACCGGAGGAAGGUGGGGAUGACGUCAAGUCAUCAUGCCCCUUAUGACCUGGGCUACACACGUGCUACAAUGGGCAGUACAACGAGAAGCGAGCCUGCGAAGGCAAGCGAAUCUCUGAAAGCUGUUCUCAGUUCGGACUGCAGUCUGCAACUCGACUGCACGAAGCUGGAAUCGCUAGUAAUCGCGGAUCAGCACGCCGCGGUGAAUACGUUCCCGGGCCU
Molecule: ribosomal RNA, 1385 nt
Filed under: uncultured bacterium
Lineage: Bacteria
Description: bacterial SSU rRNA
Rfam family: Bacterial small subunit ribosomal RNA
Source: RNAcentral